This 193-nucleotide ribosomal RNA is filed under the name uncultured bacterium. RNAcentral describes it as "partial 16S ribosomal RNA". It matches the Rfam family "Bacterial small subunit ribosomal RNA", at positions 339 to 524 of the family's 1533-position model. The record is from RNAcentral.
CUACGGGAGGCAGCAGUAGGGAAUCUUCCGCAAUGGACGAAAGUCUGACGGAGCAACGCCGCGUGAGCGAAGAAGGUCUUCGGAUCGUAAAGCUCUGUUGUUAGGGAAGAACAAGUAUCGGAGGAAAUGCCGGUACCUUGACGGUACCUGACGAGAAAGCCACGGCUAACUACGUGCCAGCAGCCGCGGUAAU